ACCACAUCAGUGAUUUAUUUUCUCCCUUUAGGUCUCAUAACUCUAAAGAUUAGAAGUGUGUUUAGAUGGCCCAUCCAAAUUCUGUCACAAGAAGACAAAUGUGUAAGAGAAAACUAUAUUUGCAACAAAUCCAUCAGGCGGUUUAGCAAAGCUACUACUUAUAAGAUCGAAACAUUCUCUGCUCUCUCCUGGAGGCUAAAUCCACAACAGCCUUCCCUGUUGUUAGCCAAGAUGGGUAGAUCCAUGAAUGCUAAUUUUCAGUGUGACUUAAAUCUGGCUGGCUUUUCUAAAACGAGCAUUUCCAUGUCUUUUUUUAUUAGUGGGUAAUACAGGAAACAGGGGAAGAAGACUAUUUCACUUUCAGUCUGCAUGUUACAUUCAGAGUGACUGAUCAUAUCAAAAAUAAGUAAGUCCUGGUCUAGGUUCUCAAUAAGUAACAAUCACACUGUUUUUGUUAUUGAAGAAGGCACACACCUGUCUGCAAACUAGCUUUACGUUUAAUUAAAUAUGUUGGUUCAUGAGAAAGGUUUUAAAAGCAAAUCUGGAAAAACAACAACUAGAAAACGAGCAAAUUUCCAGUUGAAAUCGCACUGAAUGAACGUUUAAAACACGUUUGCUGAUGCUGAAACGGAAUAAAUUCUUGCUGCACAAAAGAUUUUGUUGUACUUCAGUCACAAGUUAGUCAUGUCAAGCUUUUUUUUUAUCUCAAAGCAGUCAUAACUGAUUUCUAUUGGUUGCCAACUGUGUUCAAAUUGAUCUUUUUGCACAUUCCAACUUACAUAAACUAAAUUGCAAAGGGUUUCAGAUUACACGACAACUCAGUUUAAUUUUCAGUAUGAAUACAUCUUGGAACAUUUUCAAACUGCACUGAGACGAAGAGGGAAUUGAGAAGCUCUGCAAAUGAAGACAUUUUGGAAACUCUUGUGAAUUUUGUCAUGUUGCAGAUCUUGCUCUGGUAUAAUGUCCAAAACCUGGAUUUUCUUUGCAAACAUAUGGUGAAUGUUGCAAGCACACAAAAGGGACGCUGUGGGAUCCCUGACAGAGCGGGAUGAGUUAAUGACUGUUUAAAGCAUGCACACACUUUCUGCACUGAGGUUCUGGUGGUUUAUCAUAAACAGUAUUGUUUCUACUACCUGAACUUCUGGGUAAUUUUACCCGACCCUCCCACAUCUGCCCUCAUGGUGCAGUUCAGUGAUGUCACUCGCUGCCUUAAUAUUUGCUGACAUCUUAGAAAGUCCAGAAAGGGCUGAUUUUGAAUGGAGAC
This 1264-nucleotide long non-coding RNA is filed under the name Nothobranchius furzeri (turquoise killifish). RNAcentral describes it as "lncRNA (ENSNFUG00015006313.1)". Lineage: Eukaryota; Metazoa; Chordata; Actinopteri; Cyprinodontiformes; Nothobranchiidae. The record is from RNAcentral.